GAUGAACGCUGGCGGCGUGCCUAAUACAUGCAAGUCGAGCGAACAGACGAGGAGCUUGCUCCUCUGACGUUAGCGGCGGACGGGUGAGUAACACGUGGAUAACCUACCUAUAAGACUGGGAUAACUUCGGGAAACCGGAGCUAAUACCGGAUAAUAUAUUGAACCGCAUGGUUCAAUAGUGAAAGACGGUUUUGCUGUCACUUAUAGAUGGAUCCGCGCCGCAUUAGCUAGUUGGUAAGGUAACGGCUUACCAAGGCAACGAUGCGUAGCCGACCUGAGAGGAUGGUCGGCCACACAGGGACUAAGACACGGUCCAGUCUCCUACGGAGGGCAGCAGUAGGGAAACUUCCGCAAUAGGCGACAGCCUAACGGAGCAACGCCGCGUGAGUGAUGAAGGUCUUCGGAUCGUAAAACUCUGUUAUUAGGGAAGAACAAAUGUGUAAGUAACUAUGCGCAUCUUGACGGUACCUAAUCAGAAAGCCACGGCUAACUACGUG
RNAcentral lists this ribosomal RNA (497 nucleotides) under uncultured bacterium. RNAcentral describes it as "partial 16S ribosomal RNA". It matches the Rfam family "Bacterial small subunit ribosomal RNA", at positions 28 to 507 of the family's 1533-position model. The record is from RNAcentral.